GGGACAGGGGAUGGGCUUCAAAACAAAAAAAUGAUGGACCCAUACCCCACAGAGUGGAGGAGAUCAGCAAAAUUAAUGAGGCAGCACUAAUUUGGCCCCUCUUAUCCAAAAAGUGACUUGACGUUCGCAAUAACGAGUUUAAUUUCUCCCAAUUACCGGAGUUUAUUUUUAACCUGUUCGGAAGUAGAUGCAAAACAAAAGGAAAUCUGUUUUUAAGCUUGAGUUUCAAUAAGACAAGCUGCCAACGUCUAAAUGUUAUUGUACCUUGGGAUGUCAGUGUGAAUACUGGGUCAUGAGGACUCGAAACGUCAACUGUACUCUUCGCCGAUGCUGCCUGACCUGCUGAGUUUUUCCAGAUAAUGGACGCAAGUAGCUACUCCUUGCUGAGGUGUCUGUCCGUUGAACCAGAUUGUUAAAUGAGACAGUGAUUUACCAGAAUCCUGGUGCUUCUAGUAAAAGAUGGGGUGGAAUUUUCCAGUGCCACCAGCAUCAGGCAUUGUAAUGGGCAGGAGGGGAAAAUUUGGAGAGCGGCCAAAAGUCCCACUGCAUUGAUGCCCACUGCUGGCGGGACUGUGUCUCUGUUUUGACGUGGCUUCCGUAUCAUUGGUCAGUCCAGAAUUGUAUCCAUCCUCCAGAAUUUUCCCGUUGCAAGACCUAGAGGAGGUGCAGCCGCAGAACAGAAUUCACAACUACAGGCUUCAUUUCUCUUGUUUUCUUGCAGCAUCAAUUUGAAGGGAAAGAAAUUGCAUUCAUAUAGCACCUUUCACAACCUCGGGAUGACCCAGAACAGCCAAUGAAAUGCUUUUGAAGUGUAGUCAAUGUUGUGAAUGUUGUGAAUGUUGCACAGCAAGAUCCCACAAAUAGCAAUGAAGUAACGAGCAGAUUGGUUUUGAAUUGGCCCUCAUUCAAGAGCCUGCUACGACCUCUGGCUCUAUUGUAGAGUGUUUAACUUGAGACGUUGUGGCCGGCCGUUGUCAUUUCCCUGGAUAAUUUGCCCUCUUGCCAUGGCUUGUUAAAGCGGACAAAAUGAGCACAAGUGAAAUGGACAUGUUACAUUUUUUUUUAGAAUUUCUGCUCCUUGUCCAGGCAAAGCUGCAUUUUACUGAAGACAAAAAUGAUCAUUUAUUGGAACCUAAAUGUUUGAAGUGCCUGCUCGGCAACUACAAGCCUUGAGUUUGAUAAAACUAAGUCUUUUUAAACUGCUAGGAGGAGGCAUUUUUAUGCUUUGAACUGUUCCAGUUCGAUUUCACAAUCAAAUGAAGAUGAUGUAUAGCACAGGUUCACUUUUAUAUGUUUGGGACUAAGUGUUGUGGAUUUUGAUUUCCCAUUGACCUUCUCAUUUCCAUGCCUCAAGAUUUAUGUUUGGAGAAGACACUAAUUUGUUUAAAAAAAAUAUUUGUUCAUAGGAACUGGGUGAUGCUGGCAAGAUCUGAGGCAGGUUGUUUAAUUCCCUGAUGCUCCUGACUGUAUCCCUCUCCCUAGCUCAACGCGGAAUGCUCAUUAUCCUGUUCAAUCCUGAGUUGAGCAUUGAGAUUUUUUUUUUUUUUUUUUAUUUCUUCUCCAGGGUGUGGGCAUUGCUGACCAGGCCAGCUUUUAUUGCCCAUCCCUAAUUGCCCUUGAAAAUGUGGUGGUGAGCUGCCUUCUUGAACCGCUGCAGCCCAUAUGGUGCAGGUACACAUUCACUUAUUGACUUUCUAGCCGUUUGAUACAACUGAGUAGCUUGCUAGACCAGCUCAACGGGCGUUUCCGAGUCCUCCGCCCUAUCCAUCACCAAGAUAGCGUACUUUGAACUAUGCAAGAUCCACACUUUCCUCACUCCGAUCUGCGCUCCUCCGCUGCUGAGUGUUGUGUCCAUGUCCUCAAACUCACUCAAUUUUUCAACUGCCCUCCUCACCAUUGUUCAGAACUCCUCUUUAUAAAGCUCCGAAAGAUCUAAAGCCCUUACCACUUGCAUUAGGUCUUACUGACCCAUCAGCUCUAUUCUCACUGACCUAGCCACUCUCUUCCUAUCACCCAACAGAUGAAUUCAGAUUUUUUUUGGGUCUGUCUUUGAGUCCUUAAAUGCCCUUAAUCUGAACUGUUCCUACAACCAAUCCCAGCCUUAUUUCCAGCCUAUAGACUGCUGUGGGCUUGCUACCUUACAUUCAUUCCUAAUUUAAAUGGCUCAGUUAAAAAAAUUCCCUUUGUUUUCUGCAUAGAGGUUUAUGGCACAGAAGGAGGCUAUUCUACAUCCCCUGCUGACUGAUGAAGCUAUCCAGUCUAUCCUUAUUUCCAAUUGCUCCAUAGCCUCACCCCUCCCUGUCUCUGUAAUCUCCCCCAGCCUCGGAACCCUCUGAGAUAUCUGCACUCAACUAAUUCUGGCCUCUUGAGCAUGCCUGAUUUUAAUCGCUCUGCUAUUGGAGGGCAUGCCUUGAGCUAUCUUGACUCUAAGCUUUGGAAUACCCUGGCUAUAUAUCUCUCCACCUCUCUACCUUGCUUUCCUCCUUUAAGACACACUCCUUAAACCUUCCUCUUAGGUCAAGCUUUUGGUCAUCUGUCUUAUAUGUACUUAUGUCAUAUUUUGUAAUGCGCUUACGCAGUGCCUUCAUUAUAUUGAAAGUGCUAUAUAAAUGCAAGUUGCUAUUGUUGAUUUCCACGUUAUAAUCACUUUGUGGGUAAAUAAAUUCCUCCUGAACUCCUGA
This is a long non-coding RNA of Carcharodon carcharias (great white shark), 2681 nucleotides long. RefSeq lists it as uncharacterized. The transcript is spliced from 3 exons. Lineage: Eukaryota; Metazoa; Chordata; Chondrichthyes; Lamniformes; Lamnidae. The record is from RefSeq and is a predicted model, not a curated record.